AUUGACGGGGACCCGCACAAGCGGUGGAGCAUGUGGUUUAAUUUGACGAUACGCGUAGAACCUUACCCACUCUUGACAUCCUCAGCAAAGCUAUAGAGAUAUAGUGGAGGUUAACUGAGUGACAGAUGGUGCAUGGUUGUCGUCAGCUCGUGUCGUGAGAUGUUCGGUUAAGUCCUGCAACGAGCGCAACCCCUAUCCUUAUUUACUAACAUUAAGUUGAGAACUAUACGGAUACUGUCUAGGUAACUAGAAGGAAGGUGGGGACGACGUCAAAUCAUCAUGCCUCUUACGAGUGGGGCAACACACGUGCUACAAUGGCCGGUACAAAGAGAAGCAAUAUAGUGAUAUGGAGCAAAUCUGAAAAACCGGUCUCAGUUCGGAUUGAAGGCUGCAAUUCGCACACUUCAUGAAGUCGGAAUCGCUAGUAAUCGUAGAUUA
Molecule: ribosomal RNA, 438 nt
Filed under: uncultured Mycoplasma sp.
Lineage: Bacteria; Bacillati; Mycoplasmatota; Mollicutes; Mycoplasmatales; Mycoplasmataceae
Description: bacterial SSU rRNA
Rfam family: Bacterial small subunit ribosomal RNA
Source: RNAcentral